Molecule: transfer RNA, 72 nt
Filed under: Camelus bactrianus (Bactrian camel)
Lineage: Eukaryota; Metazoa; Chordata; Mammalia; Artiodactyla; Camelidae
Also listed under: 2 other names
Rfam family: tRNA
About the family: Transfer RNA (tRNA) molecules are approximately 80 nucleotides in length.
Source: Rfam by way of RNAcentral
GAGGAUAUAGCUCAGUGGUAGAGUACAUGCUUAGCAUGCACGAGGUCCUGGGUUCAAUCUCCAGUACCCUCA